Molecule: small nucleolar RNA, 74 nt
Filed under: Patiria miniata (bat star)
Lineage: Eukaryota; Metazoa; Echinodermata; Asteroidea; Valvatida; Asterinidae
Description: small nucleolar RNA SNORD61
Rfam family: Small nucleolar RNA SNORD61
About the family: U61 belongs to the C/D class of snoRNA which contain the C (UGAUGA) and D (CUGA) box motifs. Most of the members of the box C/D family function in directing site-specific 2'-O-methylation of substrate RNAs.
Source: Rfam by way of RNAcentral
ACAAGGAUGAACUCUGAUAUUCUGACUCUGUCGUGGAGAUCAGCAUUAGUUGUCCUCUAAGAAGUUCUGAGUGG